Molecule: ribosomal RNA, 416 nt
Filed under: uncultured microorganism
Description: bacterial SSU rRNA
Rfam family: Bacterial small subunit ribosomal RNA
Source: RNAcentral
GAGUUUGAUCAUGGCUCAGAUUGAACGCUGGCGGCAUGCCUUACACAUGCAAGUCGAACGGCAGCAUGAUCUAGCUUGCUAGAUUGAUGGCGAGUGGCGAACGGGUGAGUAAUACAUCGGAACGUGCCCUGUAGUGGGGAUAACUAGUCGAAAGAUUAGCUAAUACCGCAUACGACCUGAGGGUGAAAGUGGGGACCGCAAGGCCUCAUGCUAUAGGAGCGGCCGAUGUCUGAUUAGCUAGUUGGUGGGUAAAGGCCCACCAAGGCGACGAUCAGUAGCUGGUCUGAGAGGACGAUCAGCCACACUGGGACUGAGACACGGCCCAGACUCCUACGGGAGGCAGCAGUGGGAAUUUUGGACAAUGGGCGAAAGCCUGAUCCAGCAAUGCCGCGUGUGUGAAGAAGGCCUGGUUGUAA